AAAAAAAAAUAUCCCCAUAUUCUAGUCCAAAAAAAAAAAAUCCAAAUUGAAAUUGGCAGAGUUCAUUUCAAUAUUUCAUCGUUUUCAUCUUUCUCUUGUUUGUGACGAGCUACCGCAUUAUUUUGUAAUUCUGAAGCUGAAGAUGAUUGCGAUCCCAACAAGCAGAUCCUACAGUUUCCUCGUAUUCCUCGUUGCCUGCACUUUCCAAUUCUUUCUAGGCUUUUGUGAUGAUUCACCUAAUUCUAAAGAUGAUAAAACGACAGCAGCAAAUGUCCGCGGCACCGGUUCUCUGAUAGCUAUUAUAUUGAUUGUGCUUGUGGUGUUUUCUUUGCUCUCCUUUUUACUUUUCAAAUUGUGGCGGAAGAAGAAAAGAGAAGAGCAAUAUGCCCGUCUUCUGAAACUGUUUGAAGAGGAUGAUGAGUUAGAACUUGAGCUUGGCCUAAGAGACUGACCUUCGCCAUUUUGCAUCUUCCCAUGAUUGUAAUGCAGGCUUAGGUGAGAUUGCUUAUUGUGAAUUUUUUGCUCCUUGCAUAGCCAUUUUUGCCAAGAUGCAUAUGACAAUGUUUGGACUUGCUGGGGAAGAAAGAGCAGAAGACCACAAUUCAAUGUUUGUAAUGCUAUUCGAUUUUUUCCCCUUCUUUUUCUUUUUUAAUUUUUUCGUAGAAUUUAUUUAUCUAAAUAGUAUAGGUGAAAAAGGCUAACUUUGCACAAAGUGAUUGGAUGAGUCUUGUAGAGUGCAUCUGAAAUCUGUUGAUAUGUUAUAUGUACGAUAUUGUAGUCUUGACAUGUUGAAGGUUUUGGUAAAAUUC
Molecule: non-coding RNA, 809 nt
Organism: Arachis ipaensis
Lineage: Eukaryota; Viridiplantae; Streptophyta; Magnoliopsida; Fabales; Fabaceae
Source: RefSeq, a predicted model, not a curated record